Trichosporon asahii var. asahii CBS 8904 is the source of this 88-nucleotide transfer RNA. It matches the Rfam family "tRNA". From Rfam's summary of the family: Transfer RNA (tRNA) molecules are approximately 80 nucleotides in length. Their secondary structure includes four short double-helical elements and three loops (D, anti-codon, and T loops). The record is from Rfam. Lineage: Eukaryota; Fungi; Basidiomycota; Tremellomycetes; Trichosporonales; Trichosporonaceae.
AGCGACGUAGCUCAGAUGGAAGAGCGUUGGGCUCAUACGCAAGUAUGGUGCCACCCAAAGGGCAGAAGAUCGAAACUUCUCGUCGCUA